GACGAACGCUGGCGGCGUGCUUAACACAUGCAAGUCGAACGGAAAGGCCCUGCUUUUGUGGGGUGCUCGAGUGGCGAACGGGUGAGUAACAAGUGAGUAACCUGCCCUUGACUUUGGGAUAACUUCAGGAAACUGGGGCUAAUACCGGAUAGGAGCUCCUGCUGCAUGGUGGGGGUUGGAAAGUUUCGGCGGUUGGGGAUGGACUCGCGGCUUAUCAGCUUGUUGGUGGGGUAGUGACUUACCAAGGCUUUGACGGGUAGCCGGCCUGAGAGGGUGGCCGGCCACAUUGGGACUGCGAUACGGCCCAGACUCCUACGGGGGGCAGCAGUGGGGAAUAUUGCACAAUGGGCGGAAGCCUGAUGCAGCAACGCCGCGUGCGGGAUGAAGGCCUUCGGGUUGUAAACCGCUUUCGCCUGUGACGAAGCGUGAGUGACGGUAAUGGGUAAAGAAGCACCGGCUAACUACGUG
Molecule: ribosomal RNA, 468 nt
Filed under: uncultured bacterium
Lineage: Bacteria
Description: partial 16S ribosomal RNA
Rfam family: Bacterial small subunit ribosomal RNA
Source: RNAcentral